This is a long non-coding RNA of Pan troglodytes (chimpanzee), 414 nucleotides long. RefSeq lists it as uncharacterized. The transcript has 3 exons. NCBI's taxonomy places the organism in Eukaryota, Metazoa, Chordata, Mammalia, Primates, Hominidae. The record is from RefSeq and is a predicted model, not a curated record.
UGAAUCAUUCGCUCUGAAGUAAGCCAGCUGCUGUGACAUGAACAGCCCCAUGGAGAGGCCCACAGAGCAAGGAACUGAGGCCUCUUGCCAACAGCCCAGUGAGUGAGCUUAGAGGCAGAUGAUCCAAACCAAGUCAAUUCCGCAGAGACUGACAAUCCAGCCAAAGGUUUCACUGAAACCUCAUGAGUGACCUUGAGCCAGAAACAGCCAGCUAAGCCACUCUUGGAUUCCAGACCUUCAAAAACUAUGAGAGUCUGCCACUUUCUCUUCAGUGUGCCUGGGCCCUCAGCUAUUGGGGAUGAGAAGGGAUGCGGAGUGGGAGGCAGUCCACAUGUCUGUUCCAACAGAGCUCAGAGGCUUUGCAACACAGAUUAGAAAGCGGGGGAGGGGGAGCCUCGAGAGUCCCUUGACAGG